UACGAAGGGUGCAAGCGUUACUCGGAAUUACUGGGCGUAAAGCGUGCGUAGGCGGUUUGUUAAGUCCUCUGUGAAAGCCCUGGGCUCAACCUGGGAAUUGCAGUGGAUACUGGCAAGCUAGAGUGCGGUAGAGGAUGGUGGAAUUCCCGGUGUAGCGGUGAAAUGCGUAGAGAUCGGGAGGAACACCCGUGGCGAAGGCGGCCAUCUGGACCAGCACUGACGCUGAGGCACGAAAGCGUGGGGAGCAAACAGG
RNAcentral lists this ribosomal RNA (253 nucleotides) under uncultured bacterium. RNAcentral's name for it is "partial 16S ribosomal RNA". It matches the Rfam family "Bacterial small subunit ribosomal RNA", at positions 524 to 776 of the family's 1533-position model. The record is from RNAcentral.